This 870-nucleotide long non-coding RNA is filed under the name Nicotiana benthamiana. RNAcentral's name for it is "long non-coding RNA (NBEN_LNC014986)". Lineage: Eukaryota; Viridiplantae; Streptophyta; Magnoliopsida; Solanales; Solanaceae. The record is from RNAcentral.
AUAUAUAUAAGGAUGAGGUUACUUAGCGUAAACAUAUAUUUAAGACCUUAAGCGCUUUUAUGAGACAACAGUCUUUAAAGUAGAUAUAAGUGCAAGAAGCUACUAGGGAUAUAAUUAAGUGUUUGAUUAUAAAAGAAACAAUAGUGUUUAGAAAAUCAGGAAAUAGUAUAAUCUCAUAAUGAGCAUAUAAAGCAUAAUUUUUAACCGAUGGAAGCCAAACGAUAUGAAUCUAGCAAAUAAUCAAGAAAGAAAAGAAUACUCAUUCUAUCAUACUAGUUUUAGAAAGUAAAUAUGUAGACUUCUGUUUUCAGAUUGGAAAACCUUUACAUGAUGAGGAACUGUAGAAGAAAUACACAGUUCAAUCGAAGAGCCAACAUAAUCCAUUUCUAAAAGACUAAAACUUAGAAAGUUAUAUUUACAUUUAAAAGUGCAUGACAAUUGAGUCACCAAUACUUAUUAGGAACCAUCCCUUCUUCAAUGUCUAUUGAUACUAGCUUCUAAAAUGUCGUUUUGACGGCAUCCUUCUGCACUGGGGGCAGUGGAAGUAGAGGCUGGAGCUCCUAUCCUUAAAGUCAAGUGGCUUUAUGGUAGGGGAGUAUGUUUUAAGUAUGUAAUGGCCUUAGGCGUCAAAGUGACAUCAAUAUUUGUUGGGGGGGCUUGAAAAAGAGAUGGACGCAAUACAGUUUAAGGUCCUUGAAUGAUAGCUUAGCCAGCCACUUAAUAGAAUGACAAUUUUCCUAACCUCUAUGUGCUCAUUUAAAAUAAUUAUAACUUUCGAGAGGUCUUACUCUUUGCUCAAAAGUAAACCUUUUUCCCAAAAAGGAAAAGAAAAAAAAAACUUGGUAUUAGAAAAAUAUUAGACAAAUUUUG